Molecule: ribosomal RNA, 419 nt
Filed under: bacterium
Lineage: Bacteria
Description: partial 16S ribosomal RNA
Rfam family: Bacterial small subunit ribosomal RNA
Source: RNAcentral
UGGGGGAUAUUGCACAAUGGGCGAAAGCCUGAUGCAGCGACGCCGCGUGGGGGACGAAGGCCUUCGGGUUGUAAACUUCUUUUGCUCUGAACAAGGCAUGCUAAUGGGUGUGUUGAGUGUAGGGGUUGAUUAGCGCCGGCUAACUACGUGCCAGCAGCCGCGGUAAUACGUAGGGCGCGAGCGUUGUCCGGAAUUAUUGGGCGUAAAGGGCUUGUAGGUGGCUGGUUGCGUCUGUCGUGAAAGCUCAUGGCUUAACUGUGGGUUUGCGGUGGGUACGGGCUGGCUUGAGUGCAGUAGGGGAGGCUGGAAUUCCUGGUGUAGCGGUGGAAUGCGCAGAUAUCAGGAGGAAUACCGGUGGCGAAGGCGGGUCUCUGGGCUGUUACUGACACUGAGGAGCGAAAGCAUGGGGAGCGAACAGG